GAUGAACGCUGGCGGCGUGCCUAAUACAUGCAAGUCGAGCGAACAGACGAGGAGCUUGCUCCUCUGACGUUAGCGGCGGACGGGUGAGUAACACGUGGAUAACCUACCUAUAAGACUGGGAUAACUUCGGGAAACCGGAGCUAAUACCGGAUAAUAUAUUGAACCGCAUGGUUCAAUAGUGAAAGACGGUUUUGCUGUCACUUAUAGAUGGAUCCGUGCCGCAUUAGCUAGUUGGUAAGGUAACGGCUUACCAAGGCAACGAUGCGUAGCCGACCUGAGAGGGUGAUCGGCCACACUGGAACUGAGACACGGUCCAGACUCCUACGGGAGGCAGCAGUAGGGAAUCUUCCGCAAUGGGCGAAAGCCUGACGGAGCAACGCCGCGUGAGUGGUGAAGGUCUUCGGAUCGUAAAACUCUGUUAUUAGGGAAGAACAAAUGUGUAAGUAACUAUGCACGUCUUGACGGUACCUAAUCAGAAAGCCACGGCUAACUACGUG
This 497-nucleotide ribosomal RNA is filed under the name uncultured bacterium. Its description in RNAcentral is "partial 16S ribosomal RNA". It matches the Rfam family "Bacterial small subunit ribosomal RNA", at positions 28 to 507 of the family's 1533-position model. The record is from RNAcentral.